CUGUGACAUUUUAAGCUGUAGCUAACAGUGAGGUGAUGUUUUAGAGCUGUUUCAUUUUCUAUUACUAUUAUGACUAAUAAUGUUGCUUUUCUCAUAGGCCUGCUGUUUUAAUGUACUAUGUAUCUGACAGAUAGCAUUAAUGUAUUGUUUUUUGUCUCAAACAAACAGAAGAUUAUACCACUCCCGUGCGUUUAUUGGUAAGUAGAAGUGUUAUUACCAAAAGUGACAUCGUACUCUAAAAAUUAGCUGGAUGAAUGUUUUGCUUUAUCCUGGUAAACAACAACUCAUGAGACAUAUAUUUCAACAGAUGAUGCAUCUAAUAAAGACUGACUUUAAUUACAUAUUAAAUGUUGAUCUUUCUCUAUCACUACUGCAUAUCUCCUAUUAUACAUAUAUAUAUAUAUAUAUAUAUAUAUAUUGGAUACAUUUUUUCCUGGUGGACAACUGUGUUAACAAUGUUACCACACAACUACAUUUGUUUAUUCAAAACAUUUCAACUUGCUGGGAAAGUGUGACUUCAUUUUCAUAAUAAUGAUGAGGGAAAAUCAUUUGGGAAAAUGAGUGAAUGAAGUGAGCUGUGAGGCUGUUUAUUUUAAAGAGUAUUAAAUAUCUGUUUUCUACAUUUUAAGCUUCAUGUUUUUCAGGCCAAGGUUGCUUCACUAUAAUCUUUCCAGUCAUUAUGUGGUAUAAAACAUGAACUUGGAUUAGAAAUUACAAAACUAAUGAUUGUCAAUGAAAAAUGGUUGUGCCAUCAAUUAAGUAUGACAUAAUCAUUGUUUUGCAACUACAUUUACAUUUUCCUCCUCUAUAAUUUCACUGCUUCUGAAAUUGGCUAUUCUAUCUCUUUAAUGCAGACCAUUGUGGCCAACUCAGCUGAAAGUUCACUAACACAAAUACAUGUUAAUGUGUGAAUAAAUUUUUUUUACAACACAUUAUGUAAAACUGUACAUCAUGUCAUAAUUUCACAAACUGCUGCAUCUUUUCACUGAAUUGUAACAUUACCCAUUUCAAACUAUGCCUUAUCUUAAGUCAAGCUGAACCUAAUGUUAAUACGUUUGCUGCUUGAUAACAAUUGAAUGUUUAUUACAGUGUCAUGUUUUGUUUUUUGACAAUGAAACUCUAAAUGUUUCAUCUGUAUUUUUCCAUUUCCCCUCCUAGUGACUCUACCUUGUGUUUAAGUGCAGACCGCUUGCCAGUCAGUGUAAGUUUAUACAUGAAUGACAUUUUUAUGAAUAUCACUGUGUGCUUUUAUUGUACACAUUUUACACACACCUCUCUUUCUGUAGUUUCUACACAAUUGAGGUUACUUUCGUACACAUGAUAUUUCAUCACAUGCUUAUGAACAUUAUUAUUAAGGCAAUUAACAUUGAUUUAUAUAAGCAUUCAAGAUAAGUGGGUGAUACAUCUUUUCGUAAAAUACACUGAGCUCGUACAUACAUUUCUUCAUCUAUUUAGUAACAUUUUAUAUGUUCAGCCCUGAUACAUUUUUCAAAAGAUGAUCAAAUAACAAUGCUCAGUUUCAGCAUUUGACUCAACUACACUUUGAAUAGAUGUGUAUUCAGAAUUCCCAUAUGUUACUUUGAAUGAAAGCACAUUAUAAUGACAUUAGUUUCGGGUGAAUGUCGGUUGAUUUCAAUGUUUUUAUUAUAUUUCAUACAAAUUAUUAAUAUUUAUUUCCAUUUUUCUUACAGAUAUCCUGUACUGUCCCUCCACUCUCUCCUAUCAUUUUGGACAUUCUGCCUUUCUAUCUCUCCUCUAUCCAACUCUGACUAUUUGAACAGCUAUUGCCAGCCUUUACAACCUAUUUUGAAAGCCUUUACCACAGCCUUUGACAGCCUUUAAAAACCGUUGUGAAAGCCUUUAAGAAAGGCUUUGACUGCCUUUGACAGCCUUUCUACCACUUUUAGAGCCUUAAAAAGAGGCAUUCAGACACUUUGAGAACACUUUUUGGAAACAAGCUUUUUUUUUCAACUGAUCGCGUGUAAAAGCAAUACUUUUGAAACAGCAAAAUCUUU
This 2015-nucleotide long non-coding RNA is filed under the name Xyrichtys novacula (pearly razorfish). Lineage: Eukaryota; Metazoa; Chordata; Actinopteri; Labriformes; Labridae. The record is from RNAcentral.